This 374-nucleotide ribosomal RNA is filed under the name uncultured Fusibacter sp. RNAcentral's name for it is "bacterial SSU rRNA". It matches the Rfam family "Bacterial small subunit ribosomal RNA", at positions 1010 to 1382 of the family's 1533-position model. The record is from RNAcentral. Lineage: Bacteria; Bacillati; Bacillota; Clostridia; Eubacteriales; Fusibacteraceae.
GAUUUUGCCUUCGGGUACAAUUGAGACAGGUGGGUGCAUGGUUGUCGUCAGCUCGUGCCGUGAGAUGUUGGGUUAAGUCCCGCAACGAGCGCAACCCUGUGUUUAGUUGCAAACAGGUCAAGCUGUGCACUCUAGACAGACUGCCGUGGACAACACGGAGGAAGGUGGGGAUGACGUCAAAUCAUCAUGCCCCUUAUGAUCUGGGCUACACACGUGCUACAAUGGCCGGUACAACGGGCAGCGAAGGAGCGAUCCGGAGCGAAUCCUAAAAAGCCGGUCCCAGUUCGGAUUGCAGGCUGAAACUCGCCUACAUGAAGUUGGAGUUGCUAGUAAUCGCGAAUCAGAAUGUCGCGGUGAAUGCGUUCCCGGGUCUU